This 470-nucleotide ribosomal RNA is filed under the name uncultured bacterium. RNAcentral's name for it is "partial 16S ribosomal RNA". It matches the Rfam family "Bacterial small subunit ribosomal RNA", at positions 28 to 507 of the family's 1533-position model. The record is from RNAcentral.
GACGAACGCUGGCGGCGUGCUUAACACAUGCAAGUCGAACGCUGAAGCACCAGCUUGCUGGUGUGGAUGAGUGGCGAACGGGUGAGUAAUACGUGAGUAACCUGCCCUUGACUCUGGGAUAAGCCCGGGAAACUGGGUCUAAUACUGGAUGCUACAUGUCACCGCAUGGUGGUGUGUGGAAAGGGUUUACUGGUCUUGGAUGGGCUCACGGCCUAUCAGCUUGUUGGUGAGGUAAUGGCUCACCAAGGCGACGACGGGUAGCCGGCCUGAGAGGGUGACCGGCCACACUGGGACUGAGACACGGCCCAGACUCCUACGGGAGGCAGCAGUGGGGAAUAUUGCACAAUGGGCGAAAGCCUGAUGCAGCGACGCCGCGGGAGGGAUGACGGCCUUCGGGUUGUAAACCUCUUUCAGCAGGGAAGAAGCCACAAGUGACGGUACCUGCAGAAGAAGCGCCGGCUAACUACGUG